Molecule: ribosomal RNA, 497 nt
Filed under: uncultured bacterium
Lineage: Bacteria
Description: partial 16S ribosomal RNA
Rfam family: Bacterial small subunit ribosomal RNA
Source: RNAcentral
GAUGAACGCUGGCGGCGUGCCUAAUACAUGCAAGUCGAGCGAACAGAUGAGGAGCUUGCUCCUCUGACGUUAGCGGCGGACGGGUGAGUAACACGUGGAUAACCUACCUAUAAGACUGGGAUAACUUCGGGAAACCGGAGCUAAUACCGGAUAAUAUAUUGAACCGCAUGGUUCAAUAGUGAAAGACGGUUUUGCUGUCACUUAUAGAUGGAUCCGCACCGCAUUAGCUAGUUGGUAAGGUAACGGCUUACCAAGGCAACGAUGCGUAGCCGACCUGAGAGGGUGAUCGGCCACACUGGAACUGAGACACGGUCCAGACUCCUACGGGAGGCAGCAGUAGGGAAUCUUCCGCAAUGGGCGAAAGCCUGACGGAGCAACGCCGCGUGAGUGAUGAAGGUCUUCGGAUCGUAAAACUCUGUUAUUAGGGAAGAACAAAUGUGUAAGUAACUAUGCACGUCUUGACGGUACCUAAUCAGAAAGCCACGGCUAACUACGUG